AUUGAACGCUGGCGGCAGGCUUAACACAUGCAAGUCGAGCGGUAGCACAGGGGAGCUUGCUCCCUGGGUGACGAGCGGCGGACGGGUGAGUAAUGUCUGGGAAACUGCCUGAUGGAGGGGGAUAACUACUGGAAACGGUAGCUAAUACCGCAUAACGUCGCAAGACCAAAGAGGGGGACCUUCGGGCCUCUUGCCAUCAGAUGUGCCCAGAUGGGAUUAGCUAGUAGGUGGGGUACUGGCUCACCUAGGCGACGAUCCCUAGCUGGUCUGAGAGGAUGACCAGCCACACUGGAACUGAGACACGGUCCAGACUCCUACGGGAGGCAGCAGUGGGGAAUAUUGCACAAUGGGCGCAAGCCUGAUGCAGCCAUGCCGCGUGUGUGAAGAAGGCCUUCGGGUUGUAAAGCACUUUCAGCGAGGAGGAAGGUGGUGAGCUUAAUACGUUCAUCAAUUGACGUUACUCGCAGAAGAAGCACCGGCUAACUCCGUG
This 490-nucleotide ribosomal RNA is filed under the name uncultured bacterium. RNAcentral's name for it is "partial 16S ribosomal RNA". It matches the Rfam family "Bacterial small subunit ribosomal RNA", at positions 30 to 507 of the family's 1533-position model. The record is from RNAcentral.